UAAUUUAGUACUUGAAGAUUCCACAUAGGAAUCAUAUGAGGAGCUAAAGACUCGAUUCCCUGAGUUCAUGGAAUCUCAACCUUGAGGACAAGGCUGAUUUAGAGAGGACGGGCUGUAUAGGACCCUAGUAGGGUUGGGUCCUACUCAACCAAGAAGUAGCUAAUAAAAUCCUAUGAGAUUGUAAUAAACCCCACCUAGCCGCCUCUAUCCUAUAAAGAAGAGUGGCUAGGGUUUAUAUU
This 239-nucleotide long non-coding RNA is filed under the name Musa acuminata (dwarf banana). RNAcentral's name for it is "long non-coding RNA (MACU_LNC005860)". Lineage: Eukaryota; Viridiplantae; Streptophyta; Magnoliopsida; Zingiberales; Musaceae. The record is from RNAcentral.